AUCAGCUGUAGCAAAAGUAAACAUAAACAAACUCACCGAGCAUGGGUGUCACUGGUCGGAUUCUUCGUACUUACAGCACCAAACCGCCACCAUCCGGCUCUUACAGGCUGAGUCCUUCCAUUCUCUCCGGUCGGGCCGAACAGCGCCGAGUAAUCGAAAACUUUCGAGCUCUUCCAGCGAUACGUCUCAACGCAAAGCAUUCGGCUGGGAAACAGGCCGCUGUCCUGAUUCCGCUCUGUCUGGUGGACGGCAAAGUUAGCCUACUAUAUACCCUCCGGUCGGCCAAAGUGAGCACCCACCGGGGGCAGGUGUCGUUUCCAGGUGGCAUCAAGGACCCCUCCGACGUCGACUUGGAAGCAUGUGCCCUCCGUGAAACGGAGGAGGAAAUUGGCAUCGCUCGCGAGAAGCUCCAAGUAUGGGGCCACGGCAAUGAACUGGUUCCAAAUUUUGGUCCCGCCAUAACCCCAGUCGUGGCAACGAUCGAGCUCGGUGUCGACCCGAAAACACACCUUAGGCCCAAUCCCGAUGAGGUACAGAAAGUGUUCACGGUACCGAUAGAAACCUUCCUAGCUGAGGGUAAUCGACGGCACACACAGUCUCGGUCCGGUUACACCGUUCCGGUUUAUCUCGGUGGCGAAGAAGUGGUGUGGGGAAUGACAGGAAUCAUCACACAUCUGUUCCUGUCGGCGCUGUUACCAAGGGAGCUUUACCCGCGAAGGUUACCUUUCCUGAAAAAGUACACUAGUUGAUGACUAUUGGUGGUGCUGAAGAUACUCGAUUAGGCGUUCUCUAGUAAUAUAGUUGAAUCAUUGCAGCACACUGCAAAAUCGCGUUCGAAAAAGUUUCCCUUUUAUUACUGCUGUCUCCUGCCUUUUCUAGAGCAAAUAUAAAACAAGUUGUAGUAAAUAAUUUACAACCAAAAAAAUAACUUCUCUUUUUUCUCGCAAAUAAAGUUGAAUUUGUUUCGUUUAAAAUCUGAUCCGCACAGGUCCGUUCACUCUGGACUGCCACAACCAAGUGAUCUGGAUGAAGCACAACCAGUUGUUGACCCACUCUGGUCCCUAAGCUAGGUUACAAACUCUGUAUAAAAAAAAUCUAUCCGUUCUGAUUACUAUUUUGUAUUUACAAAAUCGCAAAUUAUAUGUAUUUGAUUGGAUGACAGGGCCGCAUGAGACCCAGGAAGGAUUAGCUCCAAUACAAAACCGUGCAAAUAUUUUCGAUUUGUAUUAACCUAUUUCUGUUUUGGGAGUUUUAGGAAACAAGUAAGACCGAUCGAAGAGGAAAGUGUACAUUUUUCAUAAUUUGGCUAGAAACGAAAAGUUUUUGUACCAUCUUUAAAACAAAACCCAUAAAACGCAAGCGCGCAUCGUUUAACAAAUUUAAAAAUGAAACCAAGAAUGGUAAGGCAUAUUUUUUUAUACGUUCCUAUUAUCUUUCCCCUAUACAUUAAAAGCGAAAUAGAAAUCAUCUUUAAAUUCAAUGUUUUUUGUUUGUUUGAUUAUUAUUUUUUUUGCAUCGACAUUAGAGGCUUGUCUUUUUCGCGGAAACACGGUCGCAUAAACAAGGCUGGCUUUCUUUACGAUUAGCUUCUACUACUUAGAUUAAACUUUACAUUUGUUACUCUCUUCUCCGUUACAUCGCCACGCCCUCUGUCUCUUUCUUUGUCCCUCUCACACACACGUCACCUCACGACUACUGCUUUCAACAAGAUGAUGGCCGUCGCGAAAUUGAUCGAAUCAUAGUAAUAAUAAUAAUAGUAGUUGUAAUAAUAAACAAUAGGCAUAGUUUAGAACGAAUUCGUAUUGCGGUUGGCAGCACUGCUGCCAACGGUUUUACAUUAUAUAAUGUAUAGUAGGCGAAUUAUCAAGUCAACAAUGCAAGGAAGAGGGUCUUGUGUUUGUGUGUGAGUGUGGUUCUACAUGUAAAUGGUUAUCAAAAAUGAUUUUUUUUAUAGUUUUGAUGUUCCUUAUGCUGACUGCUGUUGCUGCUGCCAUUGUUGUUGAUUUUCCGUUGAAUCCGAUGAUUCCUCCUGCUGAAGAAUUGAAUCUGAAAACUUUUGAUCCAAUGCUAAUUUAGUGGUCGUUUAGGUCAAUCGGGAUCGAUGUGGUGAACGUUGGCGUUUCCAGUUCUUCGUGUUUCUUCAUCUUCAGCAUCUGUGGUAUGACGAAAACGAGCAACGACGGUCUGUCGAGAUUUAAACUACAUCCCCUCCGAAGAGAUAGGGUAAAUCAUGCACCAGGAAAGAUCAGAUAUAUGAAUGUAAAAGUGGCGAUAUAGUACAUGAAAGGUGACUGUAAAAUGAAACAAGCGAAGGUGUGUAAUGAAGCCCCAACUAAGAAUUGAUAUCCUUUUUUUGGGUACAAAUGCCUUCAGUAAUGGUAUUUUUGUUGGAUUAUAGUCAACGUUCAGAGACAUAGAAAUAAUCAAAAAAAAAUCUACUACAGUAGUCGUUCACUAACUGGGUGAGGAAGGUAGCCCAGUUAUCGACAUAACAUAACAGAAAAAUGUCAUGACUCACAAAUAUUGGUAAGCAUUUGUUAAUAAACAUGGUACAGCAGUAUAAGAUUAAUAUGAGCGAGCGAAACAAAAGACAAAUAAGCUUUCCGCAUACUUUUCCACAUACA
Toxorhynchites rutilus septentrionalis is the source of this 2624-nucleotide RNA transcript. It is a transcript of the gene named mitochondrial coenzyme A diphosphatase NUDT8, with no coding region annotated. NCBI's taxonomy places the organism in Eukaryota, Metazoa, Arthropoda, Insecta, Diptera, Culicidae. The transcript has 3 exons. The record is from RefSeq and is a predicted model, not a curated record.